CACAGGGUUAAGCCAAUAGAAAGUCUUUAUUAGCUGGUGGUGACCACACUGUCUGUUCCAGAUCCCAGGCAGCACUGAGCCUUUCUCAAAGUGAGCUUUUAAGUACAAAAUCCAUGUUCUGGGUUGACAUACUUCAGUUAACAAGAACAGUUAGCCAGAAUCAGAACUACAGAAGCCAAAAAAAACAAGAUUUUUGCCUUAAAAGCUGCUCUGUGAGAAGUGCCUCUCUUCAGGCAGUCAUUGGUGGCUAAAUACAGACUCUUAAUUCAGACUUUGGUCAUGGUGAGUGAUCUUCCAGUCUCUACCCUGCAACAUUUGGAGGUCCCACUGAGAUCCUGUCAAGAUUGCCUCCACCAAUCCCCAGGUCUCAGCAACAGCCAGAUGCAGACCAUGUUGGUGUGGACAACUUCCUCCUGAGAAGUGUGCAACCUGAGGUGUUCUGGGGCUCCAGGAGAGAACUUCUUUUGGCAUUUGCAGCAGCGCAGGCCCCUCUGACACCACUGUCUCUAAAUUUCCUUCAGUGAGAGUCACUUUAACCAGUAAGUCUGGUUAAAGUGCUUUCUGUUUGGACAGAUGUUUGGACAGUCAGACAGGGCCACUAACCCAGGGUCUGGGAUCACUGUGAGAUGUCCCCAGACUCCCCCACCACCUAUGACAGUGUGUGGGUGGACACCCUUAAUUUGUCUCCUUAUUGCCAUUGUUUGUUCUUGUUUUGUUUGUCUCUGCCUCUUCUGGUUGGUCUGUUAUUUGUCAUUGUGAAUUGAGAUCUGGAAAAUCAAA
This is a long non-coding RNA of Meriones unguiculatus (Mongolian gerbil), 780 nucleotides long. RefSeq lists it as uncharacterized. The record is from RefSeq and is a predicted model, not a curated record. NCBI's taxonomy places the organism in Eukaryota, Metazoa, Chordata, Mammalia, Rodentia, Muridae. The transcript has 2 exons.